CGAUUUGGUCAAAAUGAUCAAAUUGAUGCAAAAUUGAGAAUUAAAUACUUCCAAAUUAAUUUGGUAACUUAUAGAGGCAUAUUAGUAUAAAUUGGAAGUGAUUAGAAGUAUUUGAAACAAGGUGGAAGAGCAAAUUGAGUGGUUAAAGCUGCUGCUGCUAGAGAAUUCUGCAACUGGACUGAAAUGCACUUAUGCUGAAAUGAAGGGCUAAUGUGCAAAAUUCCAGUCUUAUCACUUAACACCAGCUGGGUGGAAGUUGUACACGUGCUAGUAACCCCUUCAUCAGCUUGAUUACAUCCAACUUCUUCCUCUCUUUUCUCUCAGCCUAGGAGCAAAUAGUGAGGUACCAGCCUACAAACCUGCAACAGGGUUGCAAUGUAAUUAUGGGGAAUUAGAGGGUUAAGUUGCAAAAUUUCAUCCUUAUCAUCUCAUCCCUGGUUUAUAAUACCUGGCAAAGCACCAGGCUUCUUCUCUCUCACCCUUUUUCAUCUCUCUUCUUCCCUUUUCCUUCAGCCAAAGGAAACGAAGUAGAGAAGGAAGCUAAUUCGGUGGAGUUCAGCUGAGAAGAAAGGAUUCAGCUGGGAAAAGAAAUAGAGAACUGAAAAGAGAGAGAGAAGUGAAGCUUGAGGAGUGUAGUGGGUAACCUUGUAGCCUGCGGGUUCAACUGGAGGGGUUGAUCCGAGCCAAAGAGAAGGUUUUGGAAGCUCCAGAUUGAGAAGCAAGGAAUUGAAAUUCAGCAAGUUUGAAUUUCGAGCAUGUUGAGGCUGGGAAUUAUUAGAGCUGAAGUUCAGACUUGUAAAAGCUGAUGAAUUGAGAAGCUCAACCAAGAAGUUGAAACUGGAGGAAAUUCAAGUAGAUAACUGAGCAAAGUAUGAUUGUUGCUCAGAUUGAGAGAAGAACUGAAGGAGCUUCUCUAGUAUGUUGAAUUGCUAGAAGAAUGAUUAAAACCUGAAAUCUAGGGCUUGGGAGGUGACUUCUUGCUGCUGAGGUGCUGCUGAACUGAAGGAGUGUUUAAAGCUGUGGAGCAAGAAACUAGGGGCAGAGGCACUGACUGGAGGUCGGCGACGCACUAAUUAUGGUAGAAGCCAAGUCGGCUUUAUUUGCAUUGAGUCGCGUGAUAUUGUUGUUGGCACAGUUCGAGACGUGGAUUCUAGUUGUUAGCAUCCCUACAGGUUCCAGUGCGAGCAUUGUGGCCGAGGAUCGCGGCAAGAGCCCUGCAGUCUAGCUAGUGGACCCCCGAGUGCUAGUGGUAUACCAUUUUGGGUUCAUGUGUCAUUUAUUUUGAUGUACUGAAACAUGUAAAUGAAUGUAUUAAAGAGCAUGUAAAUAACUAAAUGUUCCAGUUAUUCAGUUCAGUUAAAAGUUUUAAAUUACAGUAAAUUUCAUGUAUAGCUAGCUUACUA
This is a long non-coding RNA of Ananas comosus (pineapple), 1403 nucleotides long. RefSeq lists it as uncharacterized. NCBI's taxonomy places the organism in Eukaryota, Viridiplantae, Streptophyta, Magnoliopsida, Poales, Bromeliaceae. The record is from RefSeq and is a predicted model, not a curated record. The transcript is spliced from 6 exons.